RNAcentral lists this ribosomal RNA (446 nucleotides) under uncultured bacterium. RNAcentral's name for it is "partial 16S ribosomal RNA". It matches the Rfam family "Bacterial small subunit ribosomal RNA", at positions 338 to 795 of the family's 1533-position model. The record is from RNAcentral.
CCUACGGGCGGCAGCAGUCGAGAAUCAUUCACAAUGGGGGAAACCCUGAUGGUGCGACGCCGCGUGGGGGAAUGAAGGUCUUCGGAUUGUAAACCCCUGUCAUGUGGGAGCAAAUUAAAAAGAUAGUACCACAAGAGGAAGAGACGGCUAACUCUGUGCCAGCAGCCGCGGUCAUACAGAGGUCUCAAGCGUUGUUCGGAAUCACUGGGCGUAAAGCGUGCGUAGGCUGUUUCGUAAGUCGUGUGUGAAAGGCGCGGGCUCAACCCGCAGACGGCACAUGAUACUGCGAGACUAGAGUAAUGGAGGGGGAACAGGAAUUCUCGGUGGAGCAGUGAAAUGCGUAGAUAUCGAGAGGAACACUCGUGGCGAAGGCGGGUUCCUGGACAUUAACUGACGCUGAGGCACGAAGGCCAGGGGAGCGAAAGGGAUUAGAUACCCCUGUAGUC